This 4457-nucleotide unclassified non-coding RNA is filed under the name Hevea brasiliensis (rubber tree). The record is from RNAcentral. Lineage: Eukaryota; Viridiplantae; Streptophyta; Magnoliopsida; Malpighiales; Euphorbiaceae.
CUAAAAUUGACGGUUACACCUAAAAAAAAAUAAAAAAAAAGUAGGGGCUUGAACGUAAACGACCAGUAAUGCAACCUAAAAAAAUACAACAAGCGUCAGCUGAACUCCGAAGGAGAGGGAGAGGGAAACGUGUCUCCGGCCCGCAGCGCUACAAUAUAAAGGAGAAAAAGCCGUAAACUAGAAGGGAAACUGAAAUCCCAGAACCCACUGAAUUCAUACCACUUCCGAUCCUAACAUCUUUCCUAUUUCAAAUUUCUUCUGCUUUUUCACCUGUCUUUUUCUUCAUUUUCACCCGUCGUUUUUUUCCAAUUUUUCCACUUUCACACUUGCCAAACCCUGAUCGAUCAAUCGUCAAUCUUCAUACAAACACAUCUCGAUUCCAACUCCGAUUCCCCAAAAAUCUCCCAAAAUUAACUAGCCAUGUUCAUUUCGUCAAAUUUUGCUCCGGCAGAUGAGGAAACCGUCGUCUUCGAGGCGUUCACUUUGUGACAGAUUUUGAUUUUUAUAUUUUGGUACUUGAAUGGGCGACCUUCGAGCUUGGUCACCUGAGUUAAACGGCGCGGUUUUAGAGGAAAGGCCGUUGUCGUCGUCUUUGUCUUUGGCAAACCAAGCCGGUGUUAGUGCCGAGUCCUGGGAAAGAGCCGAAGCCGUAACGCAGGGGAUCAUAGCCCAGGUGCAACCCACCCUUGUCUCGGAGGAGAGGAGGAAAGCGGUUAUUGAUUAUGUGCAGAGGCUAAUUAGGAAUUCUGUUGGUUGUGAGGUAUUCCCAUUUGGGUCGGUUCCACUGAAAACCUAUCUUCCUGAUGGAGAUAUUGACUUGACAGCUUUUGGUGGUAUGAAUAUUGAGGAAGCACUGGCCAAUGAUGUCUGCUCUGUCCUUGAAAGGGAAGAUCAGAACAGGACUGCUGAGUUUGUUGUGAAGGAUGUUCAGUUAAUCAGGGCAGAGGUUUUUAUCUUGAGCCAAAUUUACUGAUGAUCCUUGCUUGGCUCAAACUAAGAUUGUAUAUGCAUGCAUUUUUUCUAUUCUUCACUGGCUCAUUGUCUUUGUAAGACAACUGCAUAACACAUUUAUUUUUAGAGAUGGCUUGUUAGAUAUUAUCUAACUGAUUUUAUAUCAGUCUCUAUGUCAAAUUUGAUCAACCUACAGCUGGGCCCAGCUCUAUCAUCCCAGACCCUAAUAGUUAACUUGUUUAAAUGAGUAAGGUUGCAUAAUAUUUUUAUCGAAAAAAGGAUAUUAUGGUAUUUGCUGCUCGUAAUGUCUUUCAAUGUUGGAUUUUCAAGAUAAACUUUUAACAUUUUUUUCCCCAAGUACAAAUUUCUGUUAAAGUGCCCUUCAUUUUACUCUAUCUUUUGGUAUUAAAGAGAUUGUCUCUUCAUGAUGCAGGUUAAGCUUGUAAAGUGUCUGGUACAGAACAUUGUAGUAGAUAUCUCCUUCAAUCAGUUAGGAGGGCUUUGUACGUUAUGCUUUCUUGAGCAGGUUGAUCGCCUAAUUGGCAAAAACCAUCUUUUCAAAUGCAGUAUUAUACUGAUUAAGGCUUGGUGCUACUAUGAGAGCCGUAUUCUUGGUGCGCAUCAUGGCUUGAUAUCUACCUAUGCUUUGGAGACUUUGGUUCUAUAUAUAUUCCAUCUCUUCCAUUCAUCGUUAAAUGGUCCUUUGGCUGUUCUCUAUAAAUUUUUAGACUACUUCAGUAAAUUUGAUUGGGACAACUACUGCAUCAGUUUGAAUGGUCCAAUCCGAAUAUCUUCACUGCCAGAAGUUGUGGUUGAGGCACCUGAAAAUGGAGGAUUUGAUCUAUUGCUUAGUAAUGAUUUUCUCAAGGGAUGUGUGGAAAUGUUCUCAGUUCCUGCAAGAGCGUACGAGACAAACUCACGAACAUUUCCCCCAAAGCAUCUUAAUAUAGUUGAUCCAUUGAAAGAAAAUAACAACCUUGGUCGGAGCGUAAGCAAAGGAAACUUUUACCGAAUAAAGAGUGCUUUCACAUAUGGGGCUCGAAAGCUUGGUCGCAUCCUUUCUCAGCCAGAAGAAAGCAUAACCGAGGAACUUUCUAAAUUUUUUUCGAACACUUUAGAUAGACAUGGAAGUGGACAGAGACCUGAUGUUCAAGAUCCUGCAACUUCAGAUGGACAGCAUGGGUUUACUGGCAGACCGACAUUUCCAGGUGCAGAGUCAUAUGAAGACAAUCAUACAAUUUGUGAAUCAGAAUCUUCUGAUUCAAGUGGCAUAACUGGAGAAUGUAGAUUGAAUCAUGAGCAACCUUUGCAUCCGGGCAAUGUUAAGGUAUCAGGUAAGAAAACAAAUUUUAGUGGAACAAUUAAUGAAGUGCAAAAUUCUGCAAAUGGGCCUGCUGUUUCAGAAAAUCGUCUUUCUGGUGAUGCAAAAGACCUUGCUACUUCCAUACUGCAAAGUCUCUCAAUUGCAAAUGAUGCUAGUAAAUCUUCCGCUCCAAGUGCUGAAGAGAAUGAAUCUCCAAUGGGCAAAGCGCAUCAUGCACCCCAUCUCUAUUUUUCUUCCUCAGUCAUGGGAAAUGGGGAAAUGAGAAAUGGGAAUCCAGAAUGGAAACAUCAAGAAAGUUCUGGCUUUAUGGUGAAGAGAGUGCCUUCUGGGAUUAUGCUAGCUCCCACUGAGGAUAUGAUCCAUUCUGUCUGUAAUGACACAGAUGACAAGCAUUUGGUUACUAAACCUGAGGUUCUAUCCCCAGCGGGUUCAACAUAUCAUCCAUUACUCUUCAGUUCAGUGGCUUGGUCCUCUGAAGAUCUUUAUCCUAGCCAUUCCAACAAUCGUGCCUCUGCUAGUACUGCUGGAAAUCCUGAAGGCUUCAAGUCCUUGUCAGAUCUUAGUGGGGAUUAUGAGAGUCACCUAAACAGUUUGCAACAUGGUCGAUUGUGGUAUGAGUACGCAUUUACUACAUCCCUUCCUUCUGUGUCUCCACAGCUGCAUACUCAGUUCCAGAGCAAGAAUUCAUGGGAUGUAAUAAGACGGUCGGUGCAGUUUAGGCAGGAUGUGUUCUCCCAGAUGAAUGUCAAUGGUGUUGUCCCAAGACCAGUUUUCUACCCCAUUAACCCACCUAUGCUGCCUGGUGGAGCCUUUGGUAUGGAAGAAAUGCCAAAGCCACGAGGAACAGGGACAUAUUUUCCCAACACGAACCAUUACAGGGAUAGGACUUUGACAGCUAGGGGUAGGAGUCAAGCACCAGCAAGGUCUCCUCGAUCCAAUGGUCGCACUUCCCAGGAGAAAAAUUUGCCAGAAAGAAACUGCCGAGACCGUGAGCUGUCACAAGCACAGUUUCACAUCCACCUAAGUGGUGGGAAGUUCAGAUCUUCAGAUCUUUGCUACACUGGUUCUCCUGAAAACAAACAUUGUUCCAGUGUAAAUGGUUCAAUGCAUCUGUCAGAGAGCAUGGUAGAAUUUGGGUCAUUUGGGCAUCCACCACAUGGUGUCUCCGCAACAGAAGGUGGUAGGCAUCCAAACCCAGGUUCUGCACCAGCUCACAACUCUAGUGUGAGCCAAGCAAUACCAGGGAUGCAAGGGCCAAAACCUGUUUUGGCCAUGGAUCAAGAUAGGAUUGGGAUACAAUCAUACCAAUUGAAAGAUGAAGGUGAUUUUCCCCCUUUAUCUGACUCCAGCGGGAAGGGAUUGUCUAUCUGUAUGGUUAAGAAGCUUGAAAGAUCAGUGCAGUAAAUUCUAACAAACCAGCCUGUGCCAGGUUUUUUCUGCCACUAUGGCUCCUUGACAACCACCUUGAUGAUCUGUUCAUGUAGUCCUUUGUUUUGCUUAUGGUUUGAGUGCCUUUUGUACAUUCUACUAAUGAUUACUUAGCUAUCUUUGUUUCUGUAUAGGAUUUUUGAGUUAUGAUUUUGGCUCAUGUUUUGUUGUCACUGUCAUCCCUUGUAGGUAUAAGGUAUAGAUACAAAUAUAGUUGUUGCUCAUCUCUGAUGUAACUUAAAUUGGAAAAUAAUGUUAUUUUGCCGCUGUAAUGAGAGAACCAUUGCCAAAGGAUUUUUUUUUGGGGUGUUUAUGUAAUUUUAGGGGGGUUCAACUUCUUACAUUGGUUUGGUGUAUAUCAAGAAAUCUAAUGUCCAAAUACUUUGAUACUCCUCCAAAUGCAGUCUAGUGUUCCUCUGCAGUGCAGUGACGAUGUUCGUGAUGUCAGCUGUGGGUCACUUGAUUCUGUGCUGCAGCUGCUAGAUGACACUCAGCAUUCAGCAGGAUAAUCAUGAUAGAAUCUUGUGAUAAAAAUCUAUCUUGACAUUGAAUAGAAUUGCCACAGGAUAAAUUUUUGGUUGAUCCUUGUAUUGCUGUAGUGGAGGAAACUGUUUGGGGGACAGGAAGGACUCUGAUUACAUCCUGGAAAUUGGUUUGUUGGACACUGACAUUUUUUCUUAACCUUGUGUCUGUUUUAUGGCAAUUUGCCGCCAUCCAUCAGAGGUUAACCAAUUGAAGUUGACCUAAAAAUGAG